UCGGGGGGGCUGAAGGGGCAGCAGGCUCAAGGGCAGUUCAGAUCUAGCUUUGGGAUGGGGACAGGCCUGGGGAGCACUGGGGAGUAAUACACAUGUGGGCAGGAAGCAGAGGUUCAGAGUCCGUGGGCUCGGGGGGACUGGGGUGCUGGGCACAAGGCGGGGUCAGAAGGGCCUGAGGGUCAGGGCAGGCCUGGGGGCCGCAGGACGGAUGGAAGGUGGUCAGACAGGGCUGAGGGCCAACAGAAUGUCAAGGUGAACUAUGGGGUCAUGGAGGGAUGUGGGGGCAGGCACAAUGCAGGGCUUGGAUCCAGCCUUGGGGUGAGGUCAGGGCUGAGGGUCAGCAAGGUGGGGCAGGGGGUGAUCACAGAUGGCGAGGCAGCAAGGGCCAGGGGGCAGAGGGUGCUGGGGCAUGAUAGGCACAAGGAGAGGGUCAGAUCCAGCCAGGGCCUGGGGGUGGGGCAGGGCAGGCCUAGGGACAUGCCACCACCAGGGUAGAAGAGGUUGACCUACGCCCUGUCCCAGGAUGCCCCAGGGAGGGGGUGCAUGUAUGACAUCCCACUCCCCAGUUCUUCACCUCCUCUCCAGUCUCCAUCUUACACACCCACGAGCAAUCUCACUCCCCAAACCACCCUCAUCUCCCGGAGUAAAGGGUGCAAGGGCACCUCAGCACCCCCAGCUGAUCCCCACUCCAUCCUUGCCCCCCGGGAACACCACCUGGAAUGGGCCGGGCCCCUGGUUCAGGGCUGAUCCAGCAGGUAUAUCAUCUGUGAGACACAAGCCGGGUGCCUCAGCAGCCCCCAAGACACACUCUCGCCUUUCCAAGGCCAAACUGCCACCACAGUCGGGAAAAGAGGCCUCAAAAUGAAUAAAGAUAGGUCUUGUUCCAGCUGGAAUGAAGCAAUUCCACUGCAGUUCGUUCGGCUCAUUGCAGGCAGCAGGAGCAGGACCCACAGCGCUGCGGGUGUUGCACCCGCUCGCUCCAAGGCUGAAUCAGCUUUCCUAAAAGCAAACAAGCAGGAGAGGAUUGUUGGGAGAGGAAGUGGCCAGGCCUGUCCGAGGGGAGGCAGGCGCGGAUUAGCAAUGGGAGCGGAGGUUCCUGGAGCUCGAUAAAGGAUUUGCCAGGGCUGGGAACACAGAGGGAGCUCUGUCCUCUCCCCUUCGCUACGUGACAUCGAGCGAUUUAUGACCGAACUGGAGCCGACUAGUUUGGCAAAAGAGACGUGGAGAGGAGCCGGCAGAGCAUCGUGGAAAAACUGCUCCUGCAAGCUCUUCUGGACUCCACUGCCCUAAGAAACACCUCCAACUCCAAAGGGAGCAGUUCACCUUCUCAGAGUGGACACCAGAAUUGGACACCAGUAGCAAGCAAUCUAUGAAAUCACAGACCAAUGUCCCUCUUCUCCUUCCCUCCAGAAGGACCAAAUUCCCAGGGAGAGCCUCCUGAAGAAUCCACUACAGCCAGGAAUGUUUUUGUAGACAUCCCUUGAUGCACCACUGAGUUCCAGGCCUGUCAGAGGGCCCAUGGCCCUGGGCUCUGCUGGGUCAGGCCAGAACAGAAGGUGGUGACAUCUGAUAAGGAACAGAUGAACUCAGGUUGCACUGUCCUCCUCCUGUGACUCCCCCUCUCCUGCCCUGCACCCCUCUGAAAUAACUGGGGUUUCUCUUCUCACUCCCCAAUUCGGGACUGGGGCACAUUCCCUUCAGCACGUCCUGUAAAGGCAGCCCUUGUGUUCUGCAGUGAAAAUGCUCUGCUCCCUCAGCUCUGCUCCUGCAUGUCCAGAAGCUCACCCUCGCUGCAGUCAUAUCCUUCCUGACACUCCUCUGCUGCACACUGAAUUAUGGUCCUCUCCACCUCCAUCCUCUGAAGAGCUUCUCAGAGCAACACUUCCAGCUUCAAUUUCUUUUCCAAGAUGCCAAAAUUGCACCUCACACCAGACAUGGCAGCUGGUCCCUUUGUGGCACAGAGAGGGAAGGAAUCAACAAGUUGUAACUGUAUUUAUGGCUGUAAGCAGGAAUUUCAGAGCAGCCUUUAAGGAUCCCACUUGCUGUCAGCAGAGUACAGGGAGGUACAAAGGAUUUUUAGAAAACUUUGUCAGAUAACAGUACGAAGGAAGUUACUGGAUAAACUUCCCAGUGAUCUCAGAACUUUUUCCUCCUACACUUCAUCAGGACACAGCUCUGAACAGAGAUGCACUGCACAGCCCAGCCUGGUACAACACUUCCAACUGUGAUGUUCCAGUGAGAUUGUGUUUACUGGAACAGCAAAGGUCUCUCAGGUAAAAAUAUAAUUAUCAGUGUUGACACAUCACACUUGGACUACUUUUUAUGACAUAUUGUCUCCUGGGAGCUGAUCCCCCAGGUUUGGACUCAGCAGAGAAUUGGUGGAGUAUUUUUGUUUGUUUUAUGUUGGUGGAUUUUUUUGU
Molecule: long non-coding RNA, 2420 nt
Organism: Zonotrichia leucophrys gambelii
Lineage: Eukaryota; Metazoa; Chordata; Aves; Passeriformes; Passerellidae
Exons: 3
Source: RefSeq, a predicted model, not a curated record